Molecule: ribosomal RNA, 752 nt
Filed under: uncultured bacterium
Lineage: Bacteria
Description: bacterial SSU rRNA
Rfam family: Bacterial small subunit ribosomal RNA
Source: RNAcentral
AGAGUUUGAUCAUGGCUCAGAACGAACGCUGGCGGCAGGCCUAACACAUGCAAGUCGAACGUGAAGCCACCUUCGGGUGGUGGAAAGUGGCAGACGGGUGAGUAACGCGUGGGAACGUGCCUUUCGGUUCGGAAUAACCCAGGGAAACUUGGGCUAAUACCGGAUACGCCCUUCGGGGGAAAGAUUCAUCGCCGAAAGAUCGGCCCGCGUCGGAUUAGCUAGUUAGUAGGGUAAUGGCCUACCAAGGCGACGAUCCGUAGCUGGUCUGAGAGGAUGACCAGCCACACUGGGACUGAGACACGGCCCAGACUCCUACGGGAGGCAGCAGUGGGGAAUAUUGGACAAUGGGCGAAAGCCUGAUCCAGCCAUGCCGCGUGGGUGAAGAAGGCCCUAGGGUUGUAAACCCCUUUCAGCGGGGAAGAUAAUGACGGUACCCGCAGAAGAAGCCCCGGCUAACUCCGUGCCAGCAGCCGCGGUAAUACGGAGGGGGCUAGCGUUGUUCGGAAUUACUGGGCGUAAAGCGCGCGUAGGCGGAUCUGCAAGUCGGGGGUGAAAUCCCGAGGCUCAACCUCGGAACUGCCUUCGAUACUGCGGGUCUCGAGUCCGGGAGAGGUGAGUGGAAUUCCUAGUGUAGAGGUGAAAUUCGUAGAUAUUAGGAAGAACACCAGUGGCGAAGGCGGCUCACUGGCCCGGUACUGACGCUGAGGCGCGAAAGCGUGGGGAGCAAACAGGAUUAGAUACCCUAGUAGUCC